GGUGUGGAGGCCGCGCUGUAAUGGCGGCGGGGCGGCGGCGUGCUGCGCUGUGAGGGCGGGGUUGGGCUGAGCGACCUGCUUGCAUAAAGAGGAUUUCUCUCGGUACUCUUAGGGAAGAAAAAGGCUUUGAAGCUGCUGACAUAAGCACUCAGUCCCUCCUGGUUCUCUGCUUGUCCUGCACUUCUCUCAAUAGCAGAUAAAUGACCAUAAGGAGAAACUGCUCACAGACAACCCGCAUCUGCUCUGCACAGACUCACCUCCAUUUACAGAAAUAAGUGCA
This is a long non-coding RNA of Phasianus colchicus (ring-necked pheasant), 280 nucleotides long. RefSeq lists it as uncharacterized. Lineage: Eukaryota; Metazoa; Chordata; Aves; Galliformes; Phasianidae. The record is from RefSeq and is a predicted model, not a curated record.